ACGUAUGGGGCUAGCGUUGUUCGGAAUUAUUGGGCGUAAAGGGUGUCUAGGCGGGGGAUUAAGUUAGGUGUGAAAUCCCUGGGCUUAACCCAGGAACUGCAUCUAAAACUGGUUCUCUUGAGUUCGAGUGAGGAGAGCGGAAUUCCCGGUGUAGCGGUGAAAUGCUUAGAUAUCGGGAAGAACACCAGUGGCGAAGGCGGCUCUCUGGCCUAGAACUGACGCUGAAGCACGAAAGCGUGGGGAGCGAACAG
RNAcentral lists this ribosomal RNA (251 nucleotides) under uncultured prokaryote. RNAcentral describes it as "partial 16S rRNA". It matches the Rfam family "Bacterial small subunit ribosomal RNA", at positions 525 to 775 of the family's 1533-position model. The record is from RNAcentral.